This is a non-coding RNA of Acanthosepion pharaonis, 114 nucleotides long. Lineage: Eukaryota; Metazoa; Mollusca; Cephalopoda; Sepiida; Sepiidae. The record is from the annotation of a GenBank genome assembly.
UUACGGCCACAUCACAUUGAAACACCUGUUCCCGUAUGAUCACCAAAGUUAAGCAACGUCGAACCUGGUCAAUACCUGGAUGUGUUACCACUUGGGAAUACCAGGUGCUGUAAG